Molecule: ribosomal RNA, 327 nt
Filed under: uncultured eukaryote
Lineage: Eukaryota
Description: partial 18S ribosomal RNA
Rfam family: Eukaryotic small subunit ribosomal RNA
Source: RNAcentral
CCCUUAGAUGUUCUGGGCCGCACACGCGCUACACUGACGAAUGCAACGAGCUUAUAACCUUGGCCGAAAGGUCUGGGUAAUCUCCAAAUUUCGUCGUGAUGGGGAUAGAUUAUUGCAAUUAUUAAUCUUCAACGAGGAAUGCCUAGUAAGCGCAAGUCAUCAGCUUGCGUUGAUUACGUCCCUGCCCUUUGUACACACCGCCCGUCGCUCCUACCGAUUGAAUGGUCCGGUGAAGCGUUCGGACCGUGGCCUUUGGACGGUUCGCCGUCUGUUGGCUGCGGGAAGUUCGUUAAACCUUAUCAUUUAGAGGAAGGAGAAGUCGUAACA